GAAUCAGUUGAUGAGAGGAAAACUGCGACAGUAUGAUGGAUUCAUUUCAUGAUUCUCUGUACUUAAGUCUCUGAUGAUU
This is a non-coding RNA of Morus notabilis, 79 nucleotides long. NCBI's taxonomy places the organism in Eukaryota, Viridiplantae, Streptophyta, Magnoliopsida, Rosales, Moraceae. The record is from Rfam.